UGGAUUUUUAUUUUUUUAGUGAAAAAUAAUAUUAUCGUGGAGAAUGAUUAUGGGUAUUUUAUCAAGUGAUUUUGGAUUGAGAUUAUUAAAUUAAGUGUGUUUAAUUUGAAGUUGGACAAACAUGACCAAAAUAGCUUUAUGUGUGGAUAAUUAACAAAAUAUCCUUGUAGGUUAAAAAAAAAAUUUAUAAAAUAAUAAUAAUUAUUAAAAAUUAAAAAUUAAAAACAAAAAACCAACGUGUAAGCCAAGCUUUUGUUCUUCUCUUCAUUCUUC
Molecule: long non-coding RNA, 273 nt
Filed under: Prunus persica (peach)
Lineage: Eukaryota; Viridiplantae; Streptophyta; Magnoliopsida; Rosales; Rosaceae
Description: long non-coding RNA (PPER_LNC002841)
Source: RNAcentral